RNAcentral lists this ribosomal RNA (249 nucleotides) under uncultured bacterium. Its description in RNAcentral is "partial 16S ribosomal RNA". It matches the Rfam family "Bacterial small subunit ribosomal RNA", at positions 796 to 1041 of the family's 1533-position model. The record is from RNAcentral.
CACGCCGUAAACGAUGGGUGCUAGGUGUCGCGGGUUUUGACCCCUGCGGUGCCGUAGCUAACGCAUUAAGCACCCCGCCUGGGGAGUACGGCCGCAAGGCUAAAACUCAAAGGAAUUGACGGGGGCCCGCACAAGCGGUGGAGCAUGUGGUUCAAUUCGACGCAACGCGCAGAACCUUACCUGGGCUAGAAAAUGCAGGAACCUGGUUGAAAAGUCGGGGUGCUCUUCGGAGAACCUGUAGUUAGGUGC